UUUUUUUUUUUUUUUUUUAAUGAGAGAUUUGGUAUCUUGUUGUGGAUUAUUUUUCAUGUGCAUUUAUAUAUUAAAAAUAAAUUUGAUAAAUAUUCAAUUUAAGUAGUUUUUUUCAUGCAGGACAAAAAAAAUGAUACAGUGGAAGCUGUAAUUGUAACUUAAAUGUAGAUUUUGAUGAAGUGCAACAAACUGAGUAAAAAGAUAUGAGAUCUUUUUAGUGUUGGUUUCAAAGGAGCUGAGGCUGCACCCACACAGCUACUGUUGAGAUUAAAUAGAAAAGGUGUAUGACGUAAGGUAGAUGUGUCUAGUAUCAUUUCAGGACUCCUAGGAAUCACUUGCUCCAGUUUUUUAAACACAAUAUCUCAGAAGUGGAUGCAUUCACAUAAAUGCUGUUGAUGAGAUAAGUUGAAGAUUUUCUUUUAUCUAUCUAUAGUGAGAGAUUGUAGAGGAGGCAUUUAGUUAGCUAGGAAUAGAAGGUGAUCUGUGAGCUUAAGCCUGAAGAGAGAAGAGAAAGGGGGGUGAGGGAGAUUUAGAUAUCUUGAUAAUUUGGUUUUAAAAACAAUAAAUUUGGUAGUGAAGUAGCUAGUGUGGUUUUCAUUACAGCCAGUUAGUAGUAACACAAUGCCAUUGUUCUACUAGUGAAGGCAACUUAUGAGUUAUGACUUGCUUCUGCUGCAUAGAAUGGAAGUUUUAUUUUGGUAAUCUUGCAUUUCAAGAAGGAUACCUUCUACUGUAACUGUGGUUUUAAGUGACUUUGUUUUCACUUUGCUUUUCAAGGCAAAGGAUCAAAGCUUUUUCAAUGCAUGGAAGGUUGUGAUUGACAAAGUAGGAUUUAUUUUGUGAAAAAACAUUAUAAUAGAAUCCUCCUUGAAGAAGAGAGUCUACAGUUCUUCAUUCUAUUGUGGUUCAAAAAGCAUAUAAUUCACAAGGUUCAAAAAGCAUAUAAUUCACAAAUAACAUACUUAUUCAUCUAGACUGGAUCAAAUUUGUUACCUAAGAAGGCCAUAGGCCUAUUCAACAGUUAAGAUUUAGGACCAACCAACCAAGUAGUUAUGGUGAUUGCGUGCAACUUUAUCCAUUAUAUAACUGUAGCAUAAUCUUAGUUAAAAUCUACAGUUGCCAUCUGCAAACAGUAGUUUUGGAAUCAUUAAAACCUUAACCUGACUUUGCCAGAUUAAGUGCUACACCAAUAUGUUUGAGAACUUCCCAUGGGUAAAUAUCUUGAUUUUUUUUAUUCAAAUGAUGAAUUACCCUUUGAUUUGAUUGGGAUUGUUCCUAAUUUCCUUUCAACAUCAAAUAACAUUGAAAUCUUUUUUUUUUCCCCACUCCUUAACUCUCAUUGGAGCUUGAGGAUGCAGCAAGCAUACCUAGAAUCUAAUUAUGAAUGUGAUUAGUAACUUAAAGUAUAUUUUGGCAUAAUUUUUUUACAGAUAUGUUGGAGGAGACCUGUAC
This 1452-nucleotide unclassified non-coding RNA is filed under the name Hevea brasiliensis (rubber tree). Lineage: Eukaryota; Viridiplantae; Streptophyta; Magnoliopsida; Malpighiales; Euphorbiaceae. The record is from RNAcentral.